AAUUAAUUAAAUUUAAUUAAUUAAAUUAGUAUUUGACUUUUUAAUCCUUAAAGAGAUAAAUUAAUCUACUCUUUAAAAUUUUAUUUCUAAUGGCAUACCUAUGUAAUUACUUACAAAAAUUAAGGUUACAUUUAAAAUGUACUUCCCAAAUAAUAUAGUAGGAUAUACAAAAUUUAAGCAAACAAUA
This 187-nucleotide small RNA is filed under the name Arabidopsis thaliana (thale cress). RNAcentral's name for it is "ATSL112410". Lineage: Eukaryota; Viridiplantae; Streptophyta; Magnoliopsida; Brassicales; Brassicaceae. The record is from RNAcentral.